This 498-nucleotide ribosomal RNA is filed under the name uncultured bacterium. RNAcentral's name for it is "partial 16S ribosomal RNA". It matches the Rfam family "Bacterial small subunit ribosomal RNA", at positions 29 to 523 of the family's 1533-position model. The record is from RNAcentral.
AUUGAACGCUGGCGGAAUGCUUUACACAUGCAAGUCGAGCGGCAGCGCGGGGCAACCUGGCGGCGAGCGGCGAACGGGUGAGUAAUGUAUCGGAACGUGUCCUGUCGUGGGGGAUAGCCCGGUGAAAACCGGAUUAAUACCGCAUACGAUCGAGAGAUGAAAGUGGGGGACCGCAAGGCCUCACGCGAUAGGAGCGGCCGAUAUCUGAUUAGCUAGUUGGUGGGGUAAAGGCCCACCAAGGCUUCGAUCAGUAGCUGGUCUGAGAGGAUGAUCAGCCAGCCGGGGACUGAGACGCGGCCCGGCCUCCUACGGGAGGCAGCAGUGGGGAAUUUUGGACGAGGGGGGCAACCCUGGUCCAGCCAUUCCGCGUGGGAGAAGAAGGCCUUCGGGUUGUAAAGCUCUUUUGUCCGAGAAGAAACGGUUUUGGCUAAUAACCAAGACUACUGACGGUACCGGAAGAAUAAGGACCGGCUAACUACGUGCCAGCAGCCGCCGUAA